RNAcentral lists this ribosomal RNA (540 nucleotides) under uncultured bacterium. Its description in RNAcentral is "bacterial SSU rRNA". It matches the Rfam family "Bacterial small subunit ribosomal RNA", at positions 777 to 1313 of the family's 1533-position model. The record is from RNAcentral.
AAUAGAUACCCUGGUAGUCCAUGCCGUAAACGUUGGGAACUAGAUGUGGGGACCAUUCCACGGUCUCCGUGUCGCAGCUAACGCAUUAAGUUCCCCGCCUGGGGAGUACGGCCGCAAGGCUAAAACUCAAAGGAAUUGACGGGGGCCCGCACAAGCGGCGGAGCAUGCGGAUUAAUUCGAUGCAACGCGAAGAACCUUACCAAGGCUUGACAUAUACGAGAACGCCGUAGAAAUACGGAACUCUUUGGACACUCGUAUACAGGUGGUGCAUGGUUGUCGUCAGCUCGUGUCGUGAGAUGUUGGGUUAAGUCCCGCAACGAGCGCAACCCUCGUCGUAUGUUGCCAGCACGUAAUGGUGGGAACUCAUAUGAGACUGCCGGGGUCAACUCGGAGGAAGGUGGGGAUGAGGUCAAAUCAUCAUGCCCCUUAUGUCUUGGGCUUCACGCAUGCUACAAUGGCCGGUACAAAGGGCUGCAAUACCGCGAGGUGGUAGCGAAUCCCAAAAACGCCGUCUCAGUUCGGUAUUGAGGUCUGCAACCG